UGGGCAACCUGCCCCUCUCUCUGGGAUAACCCCGGGAAACCGGAGCUAAUACCGGAUACUCCGGCUGGAUCGCAUGGUCCGGCCGGGAAAGGUCCGCCGGAGAGGGAUGGGCCCGCGGCCUAUCAGCUUGUUGGUGAGGUCACGGCUCACCAAGGCUACGACGGGUAGCUGGUCUGAGAGGACGACCAGCCACACUGGAACUGAGAUACGGUCCAGACUCCUACGGGAGGCA
Molecule: ribosomal RNA, 232 nt
Filed under: uncultured bacterium
Lineage: Bacteria
Description: partial 16S ribosomal RNA
Rfam family: Bacterial small subunit ribosomal RNA
Source: RNAcentral